CUAGUAACGGCCGCCAGUGUGCUGGAAUUCGCCCUUCAGGCCUAACACAUGCAAGUCGAGGGGCAUCGGGAUUGAAGCUUGCUUCAAUUGCCGGCGACCGGCGCACGGGUGCGUAACGCGUAUGUAACCUACCUAUAACAGGGGCAUAACACUGAGAAAUUGGUACUAAUUCCCCAUAAUAUUCGGAGAGGCAUCUCUCCGGGUUGAAAACUCCGGUGGUUAUAGAUGGACAUGCGUUGUAUUAGCUGGUUGGUGAGGUAACGGCUCACCAAGGCAACGAUACAUAGGGGGACUGAGAGGUUAACCCCCCCACACUGGUACUGAGACACGGACCAGACUCCUACGGGAGGCAGCAGUGAGGAAUAUUGGUCAAUGGACGCAAGUCUGAACCAGCCAUGCCGCGUGCAGGAAGACGGCUCUAUGAGUUGUAAACUGCUUUUGUACGAGGGUAAACUCACCUACGUGUAGGUGACUGAAAGUAUCGUACGAAUAAGGAUCGGCUAACUCCGUGCCAGCAGCCGCGGUAAUACGGAGGAUUCAAGCGUUAUCCGGAUUUAUUGGGUUUAAAGGGUGCGUAGGCGGUUUGAUAAGUUAGAGGUGAAAUCCCGGGGCUUAACUCCGGAACUGCCUCUAAUACUGUUAGACUAGAGAGUAGUUGCGGUAGGCGGAAUGUAUGGUGUAGCGGUGAAAUGCUUAGAGAUCAUACAGAACACCGAUUGCGAAGGCAGCUUACCAAACUAUAUCUGACGUUGAGGCACGAAAGCGUGGGGAGCAAACAGGAUUAGAUACCCUGGUAGUCCACGCAGUAAACGAUGAUAACUCGUUGUCGGCGAUACACAGUCGGUGACUAAGCGAAAGCGAUAAGUUAUCCACCUGGGGAGUACGUUCGCAAGAAUGAAACUCAAAGGAAUUGACGGGGGCCCGCACAAGCGGAGGAACAUGUGGUUUAAUUCGAUGAUACGCGAGGAACCUUACCCGGGCUUGAAAGUUACUGACGAUUCUGGAAACAGGAUUUCCCUUCGGGGCAGGAAACUAGGUGCUGCAUGGUUGUCGUCAGCUCGUGCCGUGAGGUGUCGGGUUAAGUCCCAUAACGAGCGCAACCCCUACCGUUAGUUGCCAUCAGGUCAAGCUGG
Molecule: ribosomal RNA, 1133 nt
Filed under: uncultured bacterium
Lineage: Bacteria
Description: bacterial SSU rRNA
Rfam family: Bacterial small subunit ribosomal RNA
Source: RNAcentral